RNAcentral lists this long non-coding RNA (480 nucleotides) under Marmota monax (woodchuck). Lineage: Eukaryota; Metazoa; Chordata; Mammalia; Rodentia; Sciuridae. The record is from RNAcentral.
GGACAAGCUCCGGGGCUGUUUUCCUUGGCUGCCCCCCACGGCCUUCGCUCCUGGUGCCCUGGGAGACAGCCUUAUCUCUUCUAAGCCCAGACUAGCCCGAGGCACUUCCCUGAUUAAGGCCGGUUAGUGGCUCCUGACUGCCCACAGGACAAAGCCCAGAUGCCACCAACGUUCCUUGCCAGGUCCCCAAGCUGGUUGGUGUGUGGCAGGCGGUAGCCUCAGACUGAGGACACAGGCCCAGGGAUGGGCCAGCCAGCAGCCCCUGAUAUUCCCAGGGUCUCGGUCAGGACCACCUAUUGGACCCCAUUCCCAGCCCCCUCGACCAGGGAGGAGCCAGCUGGUAGAAAUGGUGAAGAGAGUCGCCCCACUGCCACCCGGCCCAGAACGUCUCCCCUCAGUUUCCCUUUUGCAGCCACCUUGAAGGCCACAGGGCAAAGACCGUGGCACCAGAGGACAGAUGGAGCCUGGUCCCUGAGUCAC